GAUGAAGAACGUAGCGAAAUGCGAUACUUGGUGUGAAUUGCAGAAUCCCGUGAACCAUCGAGUCUUUGAACGCAAGUUGCGCCCUAAGCCUUUAGGCCGAGGGCACGCCUGCCUGGGCGUCACACGCCGUUGCCCCCCCCGCGCCUCCCUCGGGAGCGUCGGGGGGCGGACGAUGGCCUCCCGUGCGUCACCCCGCGCGGCUGGCACAAAUGCCGGGUCCUCGGCGACGAACGCCACGACAAUCGGUGGUUGUCGAACCUCGGUUGCCCGUUGUGCGCUUUCGUCGCGCUCCGAUCGGCCCGCGACGCUCCCCGCUCCGCUUCGGCCGAGCUUUCGACGCGACCCCAGGUCAGGCGGGGUUACCCGCUGAAUUUAAGCAUAUCAAUAAGCGGAGGA
Molecule: unclassified non-coding RNA, 396 nt
Filed under: soil metagenome
Description: partial contains 5.8S ribosomal RNA, internal transcribed spacer 2, and large subunit ribosomal RNA
Rfam family: 5.8S ribosomal RNA (bases 1-122)
Source: RNAcentral